RNAcentral lists this non-coding RNA (225 nucleotides) under Lactococcus garvieae. The record is from RNAcentral. Lineage: Bacteria; Bacillati; Bacillota; Bacilli; Lactobacillales; Streptococcaceae.
UUGUACUAUCAGAAGAGUAGCUUUUCAAAGAAUUCUUUAGGAAGUUGACGGUUGUGCAAGUCAAUGUUUUCAGAAAAGUGAAUGGGCUGAUAAUAACAAAAAAUGAUUUUAAGCAAUAUAAAUCACGGCUGCUCCCGUUAAAAAAGCACUCGUUCCUAGGACGAGCUAGAGGAAAUUCUUAAGGAAUUUCGAAUUACGGUGGUACCGCGUGUUAACGCCCGUAAA